Panicum virgatum (switchgrass) is the source of this 965-nucleotide long non-coding RNA. RefSeq lists it as uncharacterized. The transcript has 2 exons. NCBI's taxonomy places the organism in Eukaryota, Viridiplantae, Streptophyta, Magnoliopsida, Poales, Poaceae. The record is from RefSeq and is a predicted model, not a curated record.
CUUUUGCUGUUUUGUAUAGAUGCUUUAAUUCUGUUUGUGUGCACCAAUAUCCUAACAGAGGUGCUUCCAUUGUUUCAUCUACGGUGAAGAAGGCUGCCCAAAUUAUUCUGCAAGAAGAUGCAACUAGAUAUGAGAGAUCAUCAAUGAUGUGAUAACCAAAACUGGUGAAGCUUCAGUUUUACACGGACAGUUCUCCUGCACCUGCUCUCCCUUCUUAGGGGAGUUCCUCGAGAGAUUUCAGCUCUUUUGAGUGGCCAUAAAUCUUAUGAAACUUUUUUUUCUUGAACGCGCAGGAGAACUGUGCAUCAAUAUAUUAAGAAGAAAAGGGAGGGGUAGAAACCCCAGGAGAUACAGUUAUGGGCCAGUAUCGUGCCCUUACAACGAACCCCAAAAAUGCUCUUCCCUCAAACACAAUGACGCAUCAACAGUUUUUUUAUGUAGGAUAGUUAUGCUAGAUCAACAAGCAAAUUGUCCAUUGCAAUGUCACAUUUUUUUGUGUUCUUGUUUUAGUAAUCUUUUCAUAUGUUAGUGAAUUUAGUAUUUUGGUCCUACUGAUCAACUUUUGCAGCAAACAUUCAUUUUUGGUUUAGCAUUUUUUGUAUUCCAGUUAAGCAUUUUUAUAAUCUGAUUAUCUGAUUCAAUUCUUUGUGUUUGGUGCUAGUAUGCAGGCUCAUACAAAUAUGAUGAUGGAGCCAGUCCAAACCAUUUUUGGUUGUAGAGGAUGAGGGCGGGACACUUGUUUUUUAUGAAUAUUUAGAUAGGUGAAACUGCCUUUGAAUAUGCUGUAAUUUGCUUACAAUUAUUCAAAGCUUUGCUUUUUCUUUGUAACCAUCGAGUUGAAUUAGCUGUAUUAAAAAUGUAGAAUGUCCAGAAGCAAGAGGGCAGCUAUGUAGAUCUGAAUAUGUGGGUAAACAUUACUAUUUUACUAAUAGUUGAUGCUAGACCAGCUUGUUUUCCUGCACUAA